Molecule: ribosomal RNA, 460 nt
Filed under: uncultured bacterium
Lineage: Bacteria
Description: partial 16S ribosomal RNA
Rfam family: Bacterial small subunit ribosomal RNA
Source: RNAcentral
CCUACGGGAGGCUGCAGUGGGGGAUAUUGCACAAUGGGGGGAACCCUGAUGCAGCAACGCCGCGUGCAGGAUGAAGGCCCUACGGGUCGUAAACCUCUUUUGCCGGGGAGCAAGGGCGGGGACGUGUCCCGGCCCGGAGAGUACCCGGAGAAAAAGCAUCGGCUCACUCCGGGCCAGCAGCCGCGGUAAUACGGAGGAGGCGAGCGUUAUCCGGAUUUAUUGGGUUUAAAGGGUGCGUAGGCGGGCUGUUAAGUCAGCGGUAAAAAUUCGGGGCUCAACCCCGUCCGGCCGUUGAAACUGGGGGCCUUGAGUGGGCGAGAAGAAGGCGGAAUGCGUGGUGUAGCGGUGAAAUGCAUAGAUAUCACGCAGAACCCCGAUUGCGAAGGCAGCCUUCCGGCGCCCUACUGACGCUGAGGCACGAAAGUGCGGGGAUCGAACAGGAUUAGAUACCCUUGUAGUC